Molecule: ribosomal RNA, 1224 nt
Filed under: Triticum aestivum (bread wheat)
Lineage: Eukaryota; Viridiplantae; Streptophyta; Magnoliopsida; Poales; Poaceae
Description: partial small subunit ribosomal RNA
Source: RNAcentral
AUGGAAGGGAAGAGAGCGCCGGCGGCCGCCGCAGCAGCCAUCUCGGCCGUGCUCGACGACGACGACCUCCUCGGUGAGAUCCUCCUCCGCCUCGCCUUCCCCACCAGCCUCGUCCGCGCCGCGCUCGUCUGCAAGCGCUGGCUCCUCCACGCCGCCGCGCCCGCCUUCCUCCGCCGCUUCCGCGGCCUCCACCAGCCCAGCCUUCUCGGCUUCUACGUCGUCAGCACAGCCAUCCACCCCCCUCGGUUCGUGGCGCUCCCCCAGCCCCCUGAGCUCGCCGACGUCGUCCGCCGCGGUAGCUUCGAUCUGGAUUCCUUGGGCCCCGACAGGUUCGACCUGGAUUGCUGGAACGGCCUCCUCCUCCUCUCAACCUUCGAGAUGUACCCGGACCGCACCAUGAACCCAACAAGGGUGCGUUGUCCCCUCUACCCUGCGAGGGACACGGCCAUCCUCCCAACAGUCCCCAUUACCAGCAUCCAUCACGACGGCUUCACAUACCACGAUCGUGAGAUCCUCGUCAGUGGGAGCGGCGGCCAGUGUCUGUCCUACUUCUGUUUGGCAAUAAUGGAUAAAGAGCAGCAGACGGUUGUGGAUGUGUACGCACUACAACAAGGUACCUGGACCAUCUACUCUUCCUCUGUAACUGAAAUCCCUAGAAUUGGACUGCUCUUGCCUUCUACUUUGAUUGGUGACACUAAUAAAAUCUACAAUGUGGCCUUUGUGAACAACAGUUAUAAGUUGAUCCUGCUAGACCUUGUGUCCGCAUCUUUGUCAUUAGUGAACUUUCCGGAAGAGGUUAAGGGCUUGAGCUUCGAGCUGUCACUCACGGAUGAUUCUCAGCUUCAUCUGAUCCAUGUAAAAGGGUCUCAGCUUCGCAUCUGGCUCCACAGAAUGGAUAGCAAUGGCGUCUCCAACUGGUUGCUUGAGCGUACCAUUUGUUUGCGUGAGAUAUGUGCUAACUAUAGGAUACCAACUUGCAUGUUCAAGGAUGGGAGUGAUUCAGCAUUUACCAGGAUGCAUGCGGUUGGGGUGAAUGCCGAGUUUGUUUUCUUGGAGAUGGAAGAUGUCCUCUACCUGUUUGAUAUUAAGAGCAAGGCGGCAAAGCAGGUUUACAAGAUGACGCCAGAGGAUAACAUUUUGAAUAGUGUCAUUCCUUUCAUGAUGGUUUGGCCUCCUAAAUUCCCUGCGAUGAAGGAGAUGCAAGAUCCAACAGAAUUACCCUGA